UACGUAGGAUGCAAGCGUUGUCCGGAAUUAUUGGGCGUAAAGAGCGAGCAGGCGGUUCGACAAGUCAGAUGUAAAAUAUCCCGGCUUAACCGGGAGGGGCCAUUUGAAACUGUCGGACUAGAGUGGAGCAGAGGAUAGUGGAAUUCCCGGUGUAGUGGUGAAAUGCGUAGAUAUCGGGAGGAACACCAGUGGCGCAAGCGGCUGACUGGCCGAGACCUGACGCUGAGACGCGACGGCGUGGGGAGCAAACCGG
This 253-nucleotide ribosomal RNA is filed under the name uncultured bacterium. RNAcentral's name for it is "partial 16S ribosomal RNA". It matches the Rfam family "Bacterial small subunit ribosomal RNA", at positions 524 to 776 of the family's 1533-position model. The record is from RNAcentral.